RNAcentral lists this ribosomal RNA (248 nucleotides) under uncultured bacterium. Its description in RNAcentral is "partial small subunit ribosomal RNA". It matches the Rfam family "Bacterial small subunit ribosomal RNA", at positions 26 to 280 of the family's 1533-position model. The record is from RNAcentral.
AGGACGAACGCUGGCGGCGUGCUUAACACAUGCAAGUCGAGCGGAAAGGCCCUUCGGGGUACUCGAGCGGCGAACGGGUGAGUAACACGUGAGCAACCUGCCCCUGGCUCUGGGAUAGCCUUCGGAAACGGGGAUUAAUACCGGAUAUUCACUGCUUCCUGCAUGGGGGGUGGUGGAAAGUUUUUCGGCUGGGUGGGGCUCGCGGCCUAUCAGCUUGUUGGGGGGUGACGGCCCACCAAGGCGACGAC